UACAGAGGGCGCAAACGUUGCUCGGAAUUAUUGGGCGUAAAGCGCGUGUAGGCGGCUUGUUAAGUUGGUUGUGAAAACCCAUGGCUCAACCAUGGAAGGGCGUCCAAAACUGGCAAGCUAGAGUCCCGACGAGGAUGGCGGAAUUCCCAGUGUAGAGGUGAAAUUCGUAGAUAUUGGGAGGAACACCGGUGGCGAAGGCGGCCAUCUGGGAGGGCACUGACGCUGAGACGCGAAAGCGUGGGGAGCAAACAGG
RNAcentral lists this ribosomal RNA (253 nucleotides) under uncultured bacterium. RNAcentral describes it as "partial 16S ribosomal RNA". It matches the Rfam family "Bacterial small subunit ribosomal RNA", at positions 524 to 776 of the family's 1533-position model. The record is from RNAcentral.